UUAGGGUUCGAUUAUGGCUCAGGAUGAACGCUGGCGGCGUGCUUAACACAUGCAAGUCGAACGAACCUUCGGGUUAGUGGCGGACGGGUGAGUAACGCGUGAGAAUCUGCCCUCAGGAGGGGGAUAACAGCUGGAAACGGCUGCUAAUACCCCAUAUGCCGCGAGGUGAAAUGAAUUUCGCCUGAGGAUGAGCUCGCGUCUGAUUAGCUAGUUGGUGUGGGUAAUGGCUCACCAAGGCAUCGAUCAGUAGCUGGUCUGAGAGGAUGAUCAGCCACACUGGGACUGAGACACGGCCCAGACUCCUACGGGAGGCAGCAGUGGGGAAUUUUCCGCAAUGGGCGAAAGCCUGACGGAGCAACGCCGCGUGAGGGAUGAAGGCCUCUGGGCUGUAAAACCUCAUUUUAAUCC
Molecule: ribosomal RNA, 408 nt
Filed under: uncultured bacterium
Lineage: Bacteria
Description: bacterial SSU rRNA
Rfam family: Bacterial small subunit ribosomal RNA
Source: RNAcentral